RNAcentral lists this ribosomal RNA (411 nucleotides) under uncultured Gammaproteobacteria bacterium. Its description in RNAcentral is "bacterial SSU rRNA". It matches the Rfam family "Bacterial small subunit ribosomal RNA", at positions 9 to 419 of the family's 1533-position model. Lineage: Bacteria; Pseudomonadati; Pseudomonadota; Gammaproteobacteria. The record is from RNAcentral.
GAGUUUGAUCGUGGCUCAGAGUGAACGCUGGCGGCAGGCCUAACACAUGCAAGUCGAACGGCAGCACAGUCGUAGCAAUACGAUGGGUGGCGAGUGGCGGACGGGUGAGGAAUACAUCGGAAUCGUACCUUGUCGUGGGGGAUAACGUAGGGAAACUUACGCUAAUACCGCAUACGAACUACGGUUGAAAGCGGCGGACCGCAAGGCGUCGCGCGAUUGGAUGAGCCGAUGUCCGAUUAGCUAGUUGGCGGGUAAGGCCACCAGGCGACGAUCGGUAGCUGGUCUGAGAGGAUGAUCAGCCACACUGGAACUGAGACACGGUCCAGACUCCUACGGGAGGCAGCAGUGGGGAAUAUUGGACAAUGGGCGCAAGCCUGAUCCAGCCAUGCCGCGUGUGUGAAGAAGGCCUUC